Molecule: ribosomal RNA, 274 nt
Filed under: uncultured bacterium
Lineage: Bacteria
Description: partial 16S ribosomal RNA
Rfam family: Bacterial small subunit ribosomal RNA
Source: RNAcentral
AUACGGAGGGUGCGAGCGUUAAUCGGAAUUACUGGGCGUAAAGCGUACGUAGGCGGUUGGUUAAGUUAGAUGUGAAAGCCCCGGGCUUAACCUGGGAACUGCAUUUAAAACUGGCGGACUAGAGUUGAGUAGAGGGGAGUGGAAUUUCAGGUGUAGCGGUGAAAUGCGUAGAGAUCUGAAGGAACACCAGUGGCGAAGGCGACUCCCUGGACUCGAACUGACGCUGAGGUACGAAAGCGUGGGUAGCAAACGGGAUUAGAAACCCUAGUAGUCC